AUAACUUUGAAUUUAUUUCAAAAUAAAAAAAUUAAAAUAUAUAUUAAAAAAAAGUAAAUGGAUGGCAUUGCACUCCGGAUGUGCUGGCCCCUGAGAUUUCCCUAAGUGUGGGAAACUCGACUGCAUAAUUUGUGGUAGGGGGGAAUGCGUUCACGCUCCCCCCCA
This is a small nuclear RNA of Choloepus didactylus (southern two-toed sloth), 165 nucleotides long. RefSeq annotates it as U1 spliceosomal RNA. The transcript has a single exon. Lineage: Eukaryota; Metazoa; Chordata; Mammalia; Pilosa; Megalonychidae. The record is from RefSeq and is a predicted model, not a curated record.